AUUGGAUAAGGUUCUCGGCUUGUACUGGCGUGUUCGAGGAAAAAUCACUGGUCGAAAGCUUUGGGAGUUCCCCACGCAGGAUAGUUUUGAAGAAUACUUUUCACUUCCAGCACAAUUUAAUUAAUAAUUCGGUGCUAAUCGUGGCUACAGUAACCUGUAUGAUGGAGGACCUGAUUCUAGUAGCCAAUGGACUGGUGUUCCAGAUGGACUAUAUAAACCUUGGAUGAAGCUUAAAUUAUACAUGAAUUGGCAGAAACAUUGAGACCUACCUUUCUGAUGGGAGGCUAGAUGCGUUUAGGUGCAGCAGGUCCUGGCUUGUGGCUUGGAAGACCACCUUAGGUUGAAAACUGAUUUUCUCCUGUCAUCGACCUUCUUGACUCAUAUCUUCGGCAGCAUUUCGACCCUGAUCUUCCAGAAUAAGAGCGAAAGAAUCAUAACGGU
Penaeus monodon (black tiger shrimp) is the source of this 441-nucleotide long non-coding RNA. RefSeq lists it as uncharacterized. The record is from RefSeq and is a predicted model, not a curated record. The transcript has 5 exons. Lineage: Eukaryota; Metazoa; Arthropoda; Malacostraca; Decapoda; Penaeidae.